AUCUAUGAUAGUUUAAAGAAGAAUAAUAAUUUGUGGAAUUAUUGGUGAAUUUAUAUCUCUAGGUC
RNAcentral lists this transfer RNA (65 nucleotides) under Dalpada cinctipes. RNAcentral's name for it is "tRNA-His". The record is from RNAcentral. Lineage: Eukaryota; Metazoa; Arthropoda; Insecta; Hemiptera; Pentatomidae.